RNAcentral lists this unclassified non-coding RNA (503 nucleotides) under Hevea brasiliensis (rubber tree). The record is from RNAcentral. Lineage: Eukaryota; Viridiplantae; Streptophyta; Magnoliopsida; Malpighiales; Euphorbiaceae.
GUGGCAUAAAGUUUGUUGAGAAAUACUGAAGUUUGGAGUUUGAAUUAAGUUGUAGGAAAUUUUUGGCAAUUUAGCAUAUAAACCUUAAAGGUUGUUUUGCAUAGGGGCGUUAUUUGGUGCAAUUAUAGAAGCCUUGAGGUUGUAGCCCCAAAGUUGUAGGUAUGAAUUUUGGAACUUGGAACAACCAUUGCAUGCCAAAAACUUAAGGGAACUUCCCUCCCAAGUUGUUCUCAGAUCUUGCUACCCUGUUAAGACCAUGAUAGGGAGACAUUUUUCGUAUUUGCAGUCUCUUCUUUGCUGCAUCACGUCAUGGUAGUAAAAUUUGGGAAAAUUCUAACUAGUGGCAGGCUACUUAGAUUUAGGAAGAAAACCUUAAAUUCUUAAAACUUCAUAGAAGGCUACUUAAAUUAUCUCAUUUCAUUGCAAUAAGAUGAAAUGACAGUCAUAUCUCUGUUUUCUAGAACAACCAUAAUUUAUAGAUAAAAUUGUCAUAACAAAAUCUA